UAGAGCUACGUACUACCCGAUAGUGCACUAAAAUAAAGAUACUCGCAAACGGCAUCUGUUUUGGUAUAGUUCUGCCAGGACAGAAUUUUAUUAUUAGAAAUGAGUUUGAAAUUCCUAUUUUGGGAUUUAAAACUCUAAAGUCAGAAUAUUGAAAGGUUAUAGUUAUAAAAUAGCUAGAGUCCCUGACUCAGUUAUCUAUCACGAGCUACAAUACGUCAGGAAUCAUUAUAAAACUACAGAUUUCAAUAUAAUCAUAAAUUAAUAAUAACACCUACACAGUAAAGUCAUCCGAUCUCUGAUAUUGGGUUUAUAAUUAUUUUGGCAUUAUAAUGAAUCUUUUGCCUAAAGUUUGUUACUUGUGUA
This 363-nucleotide unclassified non-coding RNA is filed under the name Hevea brasiliensis (rubber tree). The record is from RNAcentral. Lineage: Eukaryota; Viridiplantae; Streptophyta; Magnoliopsida; Malpighiales; Euphorbiaceae.